This 329-nucleotide unclassified non-coding RNA is filed under the name soil metagenome. RNAcentral's name for it is "partial contains 5.8S ribosomal RNA, internal transcribed spacer 2, and large subunit ribosomal RNA". The stretch from base 1 to 120 matches the Rfam family "5.8S ribosomal RNA", at positions 35 to 154 of the family's 154-position model. The record is from RNAcentral.
GAUGAAGAACGUAGCGAAAUGCGAUAAGUAAUGUGAAUUGCAGAACUCAGUGAAUCAUCGAAUCUUUGAACGCACAUUGCGCCCCCUGGCCUUCCGGGGGGCAUGCCUGUCCGAGCGUCAUUACAACCCUCAAGCUCAGCUUGGUGUUGGGCCCCGCCGCCCCGGCGGGCCCUAAAGUCAGUGGCGGUGCCGUCCGGCUCCGAGCGUAGUAAUUCUUCUCGCUCUGGAGGUCCGGUCGUGUGCUCGCCAGCAACCCCCAAUUUUUUUCAGGUUGACCUCGGAUCAGGUAGGGAUACCCGCUGAACUUAAGCAUAUCAAUAAGCGGAGGA